RNAcentral lists this ribosomal RNA (466 nucleotides) under Semisulcospira niponica. RNAcentral describes it as "partial 16S ribosomal RNA". The record is from RNAcentral. Lineage: Eukaryota; Metazoa; Mollusca; Gastropoda; Semisulcospiridae.
GAAAUUUCAUUCGCACUAGUGAUAGCUAGUUUCCUCGGAAAGAUAUAAAAGUGUCGGGAAAAAUAUAAUUUAUAAUAUGAAUUAUUAUAUAUACAUGUAUUUUACUAAUUUUUUUGAGGAUAAGCUCAAAAAAAAGUUAAGGAUUAUUUUUAAUUAAAUUUGCUGUAUGGGCCUAAAAUUGGCCACUAUAAAAGUUUUUUAUAAAAUAGUAAUUUUAGCUUUAUAGAUAAAUAUAAUUUUAAACUAACUUUUUACGGGGACAAAAACUUUAAUUUAAAAAGUUUUAUGCCUAUGCUAGAAUGAGUAUUAAAAACUUAAUUAUAUGAAGAUUUAUUUAUUUUGUAUCUUCUUAAAAAAUAAUCAAUAAAAUUAAUUAAUUAGAAGGAACUCGGCAAAUUUAGCUGUUUCGCCUGUUUAUCAAAAACAUGGCUCUUUGGCUAUAUAAAUAUAAAGAGUCGGCCUGCCC